Molecule: ribosomal RNA, 247 nt
Filed under: uncultured bacterium
Lineage: Bacteria
Description: partial 16S ribosomal RNA
Rfam family: Bacterial small subunit ribosomal RNA
Source: RNAcentral
GGGACCAAGCGUUGUUCGGAUUUACUGGGCGGAAAGGGCGCGUAGGCGGCUUAACAAGUCACUUGUGAAAUCUCCGGGCUUAACUCGGAACGGCCAAGUGAAACUGUCAAGCUAGAGUGCAGAAGGGGCAAUCGGAAUUCUUGGUGUAGCGGUGAAAUGCGUAGAUAUCAGGAGGAACACCGGUGGCGAAGGCGGGUCUCUGGGCCGAUACUGACGCUGAGGAGCGAAAGCGUGGGGAGCGAACAGG